RNAcentral lists this ribosomal RNA (340 nucleotides) under uncultured bacterium. Its description in RNAcentral is "bacterial SSU rRNA". It matches the Rfam family "Bacterial small subunit ribosomal RNA", at positions 8 to 342 of the family's 1533-position model. The record is from RNAcentral.
AGAGUUUGAUCCUGGCUCAGAUUGAACGCUGGCGGCAGGCCUAACACAUGCAAGUCGAGCGGCAGCGGGAAAGUAGCUUGCUACUUUUGCCGGCGAGCGGCGGACGGGUGAGUAAUGCCUGGGGAUCUGCCCAGUCGAGGGGGAUAACUACUGGAAACGGUAGCUAAUACCGCAUACGCCCUACGGGGGAAAGCAGGGGACCUUCGGGCCUUGCGCGAUUGGAUGAACCCAGGUGGGAUUAGCUAGUUGGUGAGGUAAUGGCUCACCAAGGCGACGAUCCCUAGCUGGUCUGAGAGGAUGAUCAGCCACACUGGAACUGAGACACGGUCCAGACUCCUAC